CCUACGGGAGGCAGCAGUGGGGAAUUUUGGACAAUGGGCGCAAGCCUGAUCCAGCAAUGCCGCGUGAGUGAAGAAGGCCUUCGGGUUGUAAAGCUCUUUUGUCAGGGAAGAAACGGCUGAGGAUAAUACCUUCGGCUAAUGACGGUACCUGAAGAAUAAGCACCGGCUAACUACGUGCCAGCAGCCGCGGUAAUACGUAGGGUGCAAGCGUUAAUCGGAAUUACUGGGCGUAAAGCGUGCGCAGGCGGUUUUGUAAGUCUGUCGUGAAAGCCCCGGGCUCAACCUGGGAAUUGCGAUGGAGACUGCAAGGCUUGAAUCUGGCAGAGGGGGGUAGAAUUCCACGUGUAGCAGUGAAAUGCGUAGAGAUGUGGAGGAACACCGAUGGCGAAGGCAGCCCCCUGGGUCAAGAUUGACGCUCAUGCACGAAAGCGUGGGGAGCAAACAGGAUUAGAUACCCUGGUAGUCCACGCCCUAAACGAUGUCUACUAGUUGUCGGGUUUUAAUUAACUUGGUAACGCAGCUAACGCGUGAAGUAGACCGCCUGGGGAGUACGGUCGCAAGAUUAAAACUACAAAGAAAGUUAGACGGCGUGAGACUGNGAGAGACGACGAGGAGGAGGAG
This 621-nucleotide ribosomal RNA is filed under the name uncultured bacterium. Its description in RNAcentral is "bacterial SSU rRNA". It matches the Rfam family "Bacterial small subunit ribosomal RNA", at positions 338 to 952 of the family's 1533-position model. The record is from RNAcentral.